GAUGAACGCUGGCGGCGUGCCUAAUACAUGCAAGUCGAGCGAACAGACGAGGAGCUUGCUCCUCUGACGUUAGCGGCGGACGGGUGAGUAACACGUGGAUAACCUACCUAUAAGACUGGGAUAACUUCGGGAAACCGGAGCUAAUACCGGAUAACAUGUUGAACCGCAUGGUUCAACAGUGAAAGACGGUCUUGCUGUCACUUAUAGAUGGAUCCGCGCCGCAUUAGCUAGUUGGUAAGGUAACGGCUUACCAAGGCAACGAUGCGUAGCCGACCUGAGAGGGUGAUCGGCCCCACUGGAACGGAGACACGGUCCAGACUCCUACGGGAGGCAGCAGUAGGGAAUCUUCCGCAAUGGGCGAAAGCCUGACGGAGCAACGCCGCGUGAGUGAAGAAGGUCUUCGGAUCGUAAAACUCUGUUAUUAGGGAAGAACAAAUGUGUAAGUAACUAUGCACGUCUUGACGGUACCUAAUCAGAAAGCCACGGCUAACUACGUG
Molecule: ribosomal RNA, 497 nt
Filed under: uncultured bacterium
Lineage: Bacteria
Description: partial 16S ribosomal RNA
Rfam family: Bacterial small subunit ribosomal RNA
Source: RNAcentral